ACUACACAUGCAGUCGAGCGGCAGCGGCUCCUUCGGGAUGCCGGCGAGCGGCGGACGGGUGAGUAAUGCCUAGGAAUCUGCCUGGUAGUGGGGGAUAACUCGGGGAAACUCGAGCUAAUACCGCAUACGUCCUACGGGAGAAAGCGGGGGAUCUUCGGACCUCGCGCUACCAGAUGAGCCUAGGUCGGAUUAGCUAGUUGGUGAGGUAAAGGCUCACCAAGGCGACGAUCCGUAGCUGGUCUGAGAGGAUGNUNNGCCACACUGGAACUGAGACACGGUCCAGACUCCUACGGGAGGCAGCAGUGGGGAAUAUUGGACAAUGGGCGAAAGCCUGAUCCAGCCAUGCCGCGUGUGUGAAGAAGGUCUUCGGAUUGUAAAGCACUUUAAGUUGGGAGGAAGGGCAGUAAGCUAAUACCUUGCUGUUUUGACGUUACCGACAGAAUAAGCACCGGCUAACUUCGUGCCAGCAGCCGCGGUAAUACGAAGGGUGCAAGCGUUAAUCGGAAUUACUGGGCGUAAAGCGCGCGUAGGUGGUUUGAUAAGUUGGAUGUGAAAGCCCCGGGCUCAACCUGGGAAUUGCAUCCAAAACUGUCUGACUAGAGUAUGGCAGAGGNUGGUGGAAUUUCCUGUGUAGCGGUGAAAUGCGUAGAUAUAUGAAGGAACACCNGUG
This 670-nucleotide ribosomal RNA is filed under the name Pseudomonas sp. AM01. RNAcentral describes it as "bacterial SSU rRNA". It matches the Rfam family "Bacterial small subunit ribosomal RNA", at positions 48 to 714 of the family's 1533-position model. The record is from RNAcentral. Lineage: Bacteria; Pseudomonadati; Pseudomonadota; Gammaproteobacteria; Pseudomonadales; Pseudomonadaceae.